GUGCUUGCUUUGACAGCACAUAUACAAAAAUUGGAAUGAUACAGAGAAGAUUAACAUGGCCCCUGUGCAAGGAUGACAUGCAAAUUCAUGAAGUGUUCCAUAUUUUA
RNAcentral lists this small nuclear RNA (107 nucleotides) under Mus spretus (western wild mouse). The record is from RNAcentral. Lineage: Eukaryota; Metazoa; Chordata; Mammalia; Rodentia; Muridae.